RNAcentral lists this non-coding RNA (82 nucleotides) under Prymnesium polylepis. The record is from RNAcentral. Lineage: Eukaryota; Haptophyta; Prymnesiales; Prymnesiaceae.
GGGUGAGCGUCGAUGCGGUCGCCGACGCCGCGAUAUCACACGUGGUCAGUGGGGGCGGCGGCGGCGGCGGCGGCGGCGGCGG